CCUACGGGGUGCAGCAGGCGCAAGCUUGGCGCAAAACUCGCAGCGACCUUGAAGAGGCGCAAGCCUUACUCAAAGACAGUGAUCCUGAUGUGCGUGAGAUGGCAGCAGAGGAAGUGGCGGAGUGCCGCGAGUCUUUAGAGACUAUUGAGGCUGAUUUGCAGCGCCUGAUGUUGCCUAAAGAUCCCAAUGACGGGCGUAACGUGUUUCUGGAAGUGCGUGCGGGUACCGGCGGCGAUGAGGCAGCGAUAUUUUCUGGCGACUUAAUGCGGAUGUAUUUGCGUUAUGCCGAGCGCCAAGGCUGGCGUGUGGAAAUACUUUCUGAGCAUGCGGGUGAGCAUGGCGGUUAUAAGGAAGUGAUUGCCCGUGUUGAAGGCAACAAUGUCUACGGUAAAUUAAAGUUUGCGCCUGCUGCGCCCCGUAGG
RNAcentral lists this ribosomal RNA (422 nucleotides) under uncultured organism. RNAcentral's name for it is "partial 16S ribosomal RNA". The record is from RNAcentral.